GCGCCACCUCGUAUCUCCUCAUUCCCGACAUGUCCUGGGCUCCGAACGUCUCCUGGGGAGCGGCAUGAUUGAAUCAGGGAUUCCCUAGCCCCAGGUCCCCUUCUCCGUCAUUCUCAGGACGAGGCUGCCCAGUUCUCAGAAAACCAGUAUGCUGAGAAGAGGAGUGGUGCCAUACAAGAGGCCAUGGAGGAUGAGCAGAGAUGGACAAAUGAGGAGAGUCCCUGGGAGCAGCAGGCAGAAAAAUGUGAAAAGAGAGACUGGCCUAGCCUCCCAGCCUACAUCUUUCUCCCGUGCUGGAUGUUUCCUGCCCUCGAACGUUGGACUCCAAGCUCUUCAGUUUUGGAACUCAAACUGGCUCUCCUUGCUCCUCAGCCUGCAGACGGCCUAUUGUGGGACCUUGUGAUCAUCAAUAGAAAACCAAUACAAGGCUGGGUGCAGUGGCUCAUGCCUGUAAUCUCAGCACUUUGGAGGACAAGGUGGGCAGAUCACCUGAGGUCAGGAGUUCGAGACCAGCCUGGCCAACAUGGUUGUUGUGGUGGUAUUACUACUACUCAGCAAGAUUCUGGUUUUACUUCUCAUCUUGGGAGUUACCACCUUGACGUUAGGUAUGGCUGUGUGACCCACUUUGGCCAGUGAAAUGUGAACAGAAAUGGCAUAUGUCACUUGUGGACAAAAACAUUUAAGCAAUAAUUUCCCUGGCUGUCUUCCUUGACUGGAGCCACCAUGGAAGCCUGUGUUGAGAUGAAGAAGCAUGCCAGCAGAUCAAAACACUUGAAAACUUGAGCAGCCACAUGGACUACAGCUGUGCUGGAGACUUGCCUGGACCCACAGCAGGCUUGGUAUGCAUGGGGAAUAGAAUUUUGUUGCAUUAUGCUCCUCAGAUUUGGAUGUCAUUUGUUAUUACAGCAUUACCUAGCCUAUUCUGACCAAUCAGGUGUGUUGGUGGUGGUUACCAGGUGUUAGAAAAUAGAGACGUAAGAUUACAAUAAAACUGCAGGGGGAAAACAUGUCACCCCAAUAUCUUGGAUUUAGAAUCGGAUGUUGCUAUGGAAUGAAUUGUGUCCCCCGCAAAUUCGUAUGUUAAGUCUUAACCCUAAAUGUGACUGUAUCUGAAGAUGGGGUCUUUAGGAGGUAAUUAAGGUUAAAUGAGGCUGGGUGUGGUGGCUCACACCUGUAAUCCCAGCCCUUUGGGAGACCGAGGUGGGUGAAUCACCUGAGGUCAGGAGUUCGAGACCAGCUUGGCCAACAUGGUGAAGCCCUGUCUCUACUAAAAAUACAAAAAUUAGCGGGGUGUGGUGGUGUGUGCCUGUAGUCCCAGCUACUUGGGAGGCUGAGGCAGGAAGAAUUGCUUGAACCCAGGAGGUGGAGAUUGCAUUGAGCCAAGAUCGUGCCACUGUACUACAGCCUGGGUGACAGAGUGAGACUCCAUCUCAGAAAAGAAGAAGAAGAAAAAAAGGUUAAAUGAGUCAUAAUUCGAUAGGUGUAUAGACUUAGAAGAAGAGGAAGGGACCUCUCUUUGUCUCUCUCUGUCACAUAGUAAGAAGGUGGCUGGCUGGUUGCAAGCCACAAAAAAAGCUCUCACCAGAAAGUGACUAUCUUGGCACUUUUUUUUGAGGCAGUGUCUUGCUGUUGCCCAGGAUGGAGUACAGUGUCAUGAUCACGUCUCACUGCAGCCUCAACCUCCCAGGCUUGAGAGUUCCUCCCAGCUCAGCUUCCCAAGUAACUGGGACUACAGGCACCUGCCACCACACCCAUCUGAUUAUUUCUAUUUUUUUUGUGUGUGUCUGUGUAGAGCCAUUGCCCAGACUGGUAUCAAAUUCCUGGGCUGAAAUGAUCCUCCUGCUUUGGCCUCCCAAAGUGCAGGGAUUACAGUCAUGAGCCACUGCGCCUGGCCCAUCUUGGCACUUUUGAUCGUGGACUUCUUACCUUCAGAACUGGGCAGCUGUAGCUAUGAUUCCAGAGGUGGCAUCUGGCAGGCUGACCACCUAACACUGAUACAAGGAGAAGUAAUGCCUGGAUGUGAGAAAGAAAAAGAACUUCACAAAGGAUACCAGCUGAAGCUUAAGACGUAGUUCACAGAGAUGAGGUCUUGCUGUGUUGCCCAGUCUGGUCUUGAACUCCCGGGCUCAAGUGAUCCUCCUGCCUUGGCCUCCCAAAGUGCUGGAAUUAUAGGUAUG
Molecule: long non-coding RNA, 2177 nt
Organism: Symphalangus syndactylus (siamang)
Lineage: Eukaryota; Metazoa; Chordata; Mammalia; Primates; Hylobatidae
Source: RefSeq, a predicted model, not a curated record